ACCUAAAACUCUCUUAGCGGCAACUAAAAAAUUGUAUGUGAUGAGCGGGAAAAGGAGGGAGGACAAGACCGGCUAUUCUCUUAUUAACAUUUUGUUUGAUUCCUAUUAUGAUCGUAUUCUUAAUCGAAGCAUCGCAUAUGAACCUUAGCGACAUCAGUCGGUUAUGGAUUCAUCUACAAUACCAUCUCGUUUUUGAAUUUUGGAUCCAUUGUUUACAUCAUGACCCGACCAAGACAUGUUUUCUUAGUUGAUUAUGUCUGUUCUGCAAUCGCUGUUGGACAACCAGAGUCUGCUACUAAGCUUCGCACUUGCAAUUGAUUUAUUGAAUCAGCGAUUAGGGAGAGCCGGAGACCGACAAACAAAUAGUCCUUGUUCAAGAUUUCAAUUGUGCAUUACAAGAUAUUUUUAUACUUCAAGGUUGUUUGGUACUCGAAGGGUAAUUACCCGAUGAAUACCCAACUGGUUUUGCGUUAGAUAUGGUUUAUAACCAGGUAUGAGUAUGACCCAACUGGUUUUGCGUUGGAUAUGGUUUAUAACCAGGUAUGAGUAUGGGCAGGAGCGGUUCUUAGAAGUGUAGUAGCAAGGCCACGGCCCGGGUCAUAUGUACCUGUCAACUCAUCACAUAUGCUUCUACAUAUACUUAUUUGGAUUUGAGACAGAAUGUCAUGCUAUGAUCAGAUUGUAUUUCAUAGAAUUCUAUGCAAUUGGGAUGCGGAAGAAAGUUGGAUAUCUAAAGAAGCGACUACAAUAUAUAUAUGAUGAAGCCGAGAAACUAGCAUACUAUGGAAUCAAUGAGCGACAAGUCCAUUAUGGAGAAUGGAGUUGGACGAAGCUCUAUUUGCUUACAUGGGUGGGGGUUGAUCCAAUUAGCUAUUGAUGAUAACAAAAUGAGUACUACUAAAUAAGCAAAGUGUCCUACUUACGACGAGCUAGUGGAUGCACUUCAAACACC
Molecule: long non-coding RNA, 952 nt
Organism: Helianthus annuus (common sunflower)
Lineage: Eukaryota; Viridiplantae; Streptophyta; Magnoliopsida; Asterales; Asteraceae
Exons: 5
Source: RefSeq, a predicted model, not a curated record